UACGAAGGGGGCUAGCGUUGCUCGGAAUUACUGGGCGUAAAGGGCGCGUAGGCGGCCGCCUAAGUCAGACGUGAAAUCCCUCGGCUCAACCGGGGAACUGCGUCUGAUACUGGGUGGCUUGAAUCCGGGAGAGGGAUGCGGAAUUCCAGGUGUAGCGGUGAAAUGCGUAGAUAUCUGGAGGAACACCGGUGGCGAAGGCGGCAUCCUGGACCGGUAUUGACGCUGAGGCGCGAAAGCCAGGGGAGCAAACGGG
RNAcentral lists this ribosomal RNA (253 nucleotides) under uncultured bacterium. RNAcentral describes it as "partial 16S ribosomal RNA". It matches the Rfam family "Bacterial small subunit ribosomal RNA", at positions 524 to 776 of the family's 1533-position model. The record is from RNAcentral.